UGUGAUCCCUCGGGGUGAACUUGUCGCUGUCGAGUGGCGGACGGGUGAGUAAUGCUUAGGAAUCUGCCUAGUAGUGGGGGACAACAGCCGGAAACGGCUGCUAAUACCGCAUACGCCCUACGGGGGAAAGCGGGGGAUCUUCGGACCUCGCGCUAUUAGAUGAGCCUAAGUCGGAUUAGCUUGUUGGUGGGGUAAAGGCCUACCAAGGCGACGAUCCGUAGCUGGUCUGAGAGGAUGAUCAGCCACACUGGGACUGAGACACGGCCCAGACUCC
Molecule: ribosomal RNA, 274 nt
Filed under: unidentified marine bacterioplankton
Lineage: Bacteria
Description: partial 16S ribosomal RNA
Rfam family: Bacterial small subunit ribosomal RNA
Source: RNAcentral